ACGCUGGCGGCAGGCCUAACACAUGCAAGUCGAGCGGUAGAGAGAAGCUUGCUUCUCUUGAGAGCGGCGGACGGGUGAGUAAUGCCUAGGAAUCUGCCUGGUAGUGGGGGAUAACGUUCGGAAACGGACGCUAAUACCGCAUACGUCCCACGGGAGAAAGCAGGGGACCUUCGGGCCUUGCGCUAUCAGAUGAGCCUAGGUCGGAUUAGCUAGUUGGUGGGGUAAUGGCUCACCAAGGCGACGAUCCGUAACUGGUCUGAGAGGAUGAUCAGUCACACUGGAACUGAGACACGGUCCAGACUCCUACGGGAGGCAGCAGUGGGGAAUAUUGGACAAUGGGCGAAAGCCUGAUCCAGCCAUGCCGCGUGUGUGAAGAAGGUCUUCGGAUUGUAAAGCACUUUAAGUUGGGAGGAAGGGUUGUAGAUUAAUACUCUGCAAUUUUGACGUUACCGACAGAAUAAGCACCGGCUAACUCUGUGCCAGCAGCCGCGGUAAUACAGAGGGUGCAAGCGUUAAUCGGAAUUACUGGGCGUAAAGCGCGCGUAGGUGGUUAGUUAAGUUGGAUGUGAAAUCCCCGGGCUCAACCUGGGAACUGCAUUCAAAACUGACUGACUAGAGUAUGGUAGAGGGUGGUGGAAUUUCCUGUGUAGCGGUGAAAUGCGUAGAUAUAGGAAGGAACACCAGUGGCGAAGGCGACCACCUGGACUGAUACUGACACUGAGGUGCGAAAGCGUGGGGAGCAAAC
This 745-nucleotide ribosomal RNA is filed under the name uncultured bacterium. RNAcentral describes it as "bacterial SSU rRNA". It matches the Rfam family "Bacterial small subunit ribosomal RNA", at positions 33 to 773 of the family's 1533-position model. The record is from RNAcentral.